CAAUGUAAAUUGCACCACUUAGUUUAUCCUGGAAGUAGUACAAGAUAACACAUUCCUUAGUAUUCAUGUACCAUGACCAACAGGAAGCUCACGUAAUGCAAGUUACUUGUGGCUUCCUACUGGACAUGAUGUCAAAACAGAGGAAACAAAUCACGUGGAAGGAAAGCCCUUGCUUUUAGCUAUCCAUUAGUCCAAGGUACACCAAAAUUGAGUAAUGUGUCGCAGACUUACAAGACUUUUAACAGAACCAGAUCAAGAACAUGAUUGUGUGCACCUCAUACACAAUCAGCGCUCUAGUCCAGGAACAUUCUUGAAGUGAGAACACAGGGAAAUGAUGUCUACUUCUGAAUAAAAAAUCUGUCUGGCUAUUGAUAGCUGAAGUCUUUUCUUAGCUUUUCAAGGGGCCCCACAUACUUGACACAGACCAGAAUAUGCUGCUGACAAUGGUCACCUUCAUUUACAAUGUUUGUACUUUUAAGAGCAUGUUUUGUAGCUACUAGCUAAUAAUUAACUUGUGUUUUGUACAAUAUUGACAUCAUUUUUAACAUGUUUUAAUUCCUUUAGAAAAAAAAUAGCUACUUACCAGUUGCAGCCAUAUCUAUAGAGCAACUCUUUCUGUUCGAAAUAGAACCUUCCACACACCACAGAACAUAUCGUGGAAGUCAUGGUGGAGCUAACAAGAACGCUACUAUGGUGCCACUAUCUUUGUGGUGAUGAUAAUGCAAUCACAAAAUGGAUGCGCAAAAAAUAGCUGAUCAUGAGUAUGCUGUGCAAGUAGUAUCAUUACGUAGGUAAUUUGAAGUACAUCACAGCUAUAAUGUUUUCUAAGACACUCCUCCCAUAGAAAUACCCGUAACCAUGGUUAGAAGUAUGCCAAGUAAACAGGAAUUGAUUUGUGUGAAACCACACCCAUUUUUUCAAUAUUUCAUUGCAAUUCAGUGUGUUCCAACUACAGGGAUUUGAGGAGUUCUUGCAACUGUAAUGUCGAGAGCGGAAGUACCUGUCACGUGAACAGUUACAUAAUUAUGGCUCAUUUCAAACCAAUUUUUCUCCAAUAAAGCCUUUAGGCAUGUUUAUUUUGGGAAAAAAAUCGACCUAUACAGGAGGCUUUGCUCUGCAUAUAAUUAUCUGCAAGCCUUUGCACCACAGCUAAAGCUAUCCUUGAGCCCAAUCGUGAGCUACUACUAUUAGUCUGUCACACAAACUGUGUAUCCAGCUGGAGCUAGCCUAAGAGAGAUUUUACUGAGACUAGUGCUACACUUUCAACAGCUUACGGGCAGGCUGGGGCAAGUAGUAGCUCACAAAACAAUUAGAAUCUCAAGGAUAGCUUCAGCUGACAAUCUGCUGUGGUGCAAAGCCUUUACCAAAGGCUCUUAGCUUUCUGAUGUAAGUCAAUGUUUUCCCAGUUUAACAAAAAUGAAUAGGCUCUAUUGGAGAAAAAUUGGUUUGGAAUGAGCCAAAAUUCAAUCUUGUUACCAAGGUUCACGUGACAGGUACUUCCGCUCUCGACAUUACAGUUGCAAGAACUCCUCAAAUCCCUGUAAGUGGCAUGCUUGAAACAGCGGUGAAUGGUAAGCUAAUUGCCGAGCGGGAAGCGAGGCGAAUAAUCGUACUACCUGAUUCUGGCCCAUGCUUUUUUCUGACUGUUGUAGCUAACAAAAAACUAGCGCUUUAGUGCAAGGCUAACUCAUUACUUGAAAAGAAACUUUGUGCGAACAGAUGAUGCUACGAAAGAUUCUAAAGAGACUGCAACAGCCUUCAAUGUUUGUCAAACUAGCCAUAACUCGAGAAAGAAGCUUUAGUUUGCUAAUCCACGAAUCAAAAUCUAAGAGAACGUGGCUAGAAGCCUAUAAAAACUGUUAGUUUUUGUCGCAUUGCAACCGUUGAGCAGUUACAG
This is a long non-coding RNA of Halichondria panicea, 1897 nucleotides long. RefSeq lists it as uncharacterized. The record is from RefSeq and is a predicted model, not a curated record. The transcript is spliced from 3 exons. NCBI's taxonomy places the organism in Eukaryota, Metazoa, Porifera, Demospongiae, Suberitida, Halichondriidae.